RNAcentral lists this ribosomal RNA (774 nucleotides) under Idriella rara. RNAcentral's name for it is "eukaryotic LSU rRNA". It matches the Rfam family "Eukaryotic large subunit ribosomal RNA", at positions 77 to 883 of the family's 3401-position model. Lineage: Eukaryota; Fungi; Ascomycota; Sordariomycetes; Xylariales; Microdochiaceae. The record is from RNAcentral.
GCCCUAGUACGGCGAGUGAGCGGCAAAGCUCAAUUUGAAUCUGGCCCUAGCGGUCCGAGUUGUAAUUUGCAGAGGAUGCUUUUGGUGCGGUGCCUUCCGAGUUCCCUGGAACGGGACGCCAUAGAGGGUGAGAGCCCCGUACGGUUGGAUACCUAGCCUCUAUAUAGCUCCUUCGACGAGUCGAGUAGUUUGGGAAUGCUGCUCUAAAUGGGAGGUAAAUUUCUUCUAAAGCUAAAUACCGGCCAGAGACCGAUAGCGCACAAGUAGAGUGAUCGAAAGAUGAAAAGCACUUUGAAAAGAGGGUUAAAUAGCACGUGAAAUUGUUGAAAGGGAAGCGUUUGCGACCAGACCUUCUCCAGGGGGAUCAACCGCUGUUCUCAGCGGUGCACUCCCCCCUGGUUUAGGCCAGCAUCGGUUCUCUUAGGGGGAUAAAGGCCUGGGGAACGUAGCUCUUUAGGGAGUGUUAUAGCCCCUAGCGUAAUACCCUUCAGGGGACCGAGGACCGCGCUUCGGCAAGGAUGCUGGCGUAAUGGUCGUCAACGACCCGUCUUGAAACACGGACCAAGGAGUCGAACAUUUGUGCGAGUGUUUGGGUGUUAAACCCUCACGCGUAAUGAAAGUGAACGGAGGUGAGAGCCUUAGGGUGCAUCAUCGACCGAUCCUGAUGUCUUCGGAUGGAUUUGAGUAAGAGCAUAACUGUUCGGACCCGAAAGAUGGUGAACUAUGCGUGGAUAGGGUGAAGCCAGAGGAAACUCUGGUGGAGGCUCGCAGCGG